GCGGGUGUAGUUCAAUGGUAGAACUUCAGCUUCCCAAGCUGAUAGUGCGAGUUCGAUUCUCGUCACCCGCU
Molecule: transfer RNA, 71 nt
Filed under: Kineococcus aurantiacus
Lineage: Bacteria; Bacillati; Actinomycetota; Actinomycetes; Kineosporiales; Kineosporiaceae
Also listed under: 3 other names
Rfam family: tRNA
About the family: Transfer RNA (tRNA) molecules are approximately 80 nucleotides in length. Their secondary structure includes four short double-helical elements and three loops (D, anti-codon, and T loops).
Source: Rfam by way of RNAcentral